UACGAAGGGUGCAAGCGUUAAUCGGAAUUACUGGGCGUAAAGCGUGCGUAGGCGGUUCGUUAAGUCUGUCGUGAAAGCCCUGGGCUCAACCUGGGAAUGGCGAUGGAUACUGGCGAGCUAGAGUGCGGUAGAGGAUGGCGGAAUUCCCGGUGUAGCGGUGAAAUGCGUAGAGAUCGGGAGGAACAUCCGUGGCGAAGGCGGCCAUCUGGACCAGCACUGACGCUGAGGCACGAAAGCGUGGGGAGCAAACAGGAUUAGAAACCCCCGUAGUCC
This 273-nucleotide ribosomal RNA is filed under the name uncultured bacterium. RNAcentral describes it as "partial 16S ribosomal RNA". It matches the Rfam family "Bacterial small subunit ribosomal RNA", at positions 524 to 796 of the family's 1533-position model. The record is from RNAcentral.